CAAACUGGGAUUAGAUACCCCACUAUGCUUUAGAAUAAACCACGAUUAAACCUAAACAAUUAAUCCGCCAGAGAAUUACGGGUGAAAGCCUAAAACUCAAAAGACUUGACGGUGUCCCAAUUCUGCCUAGAGGAGCCUGUUUCAUAAUCGAUAACCCCCGUUCAACCCAACCCCUCCUUGUAAAUCCCUCAGCCUAUAUACCGCCGUCUUUACUCUAGCUUACCUUAUGAAAGACUAACAGUAAGCUUAAUAGUCCCCUAACUAGUAAAUCAGGUCAAGGUGUAGCUUAUGGAGAGGAGAAAAUGGGCUACAUUUUCUACCACAGAAUACUACGAAAAAUAUUCUGAAAUAAAGUAUAUAAAGGUGGAUUUAGUAGUAAGUCAAAUUAGAGUAUUUGACUAAAUUUAAGCUCUGGGACAUGUACACACCGCCCGUCACCCUCCUCAACUAAAUUAAAUAACUAUAUAAAACAAUGACAUAUACAAGAUGAGGCAAGUCGUAACAGGUAAAGCACGGAAGUGA
Molecule: ribosomal RNA, 522 nt
Filed under: Holcosus festivus
Lineage: Eukaryota; Metazoa; Chordata; Lepidosauria; Squamata; Teiidae
Description: partial 12S ribosomal RNA
Rfam family: Bacterial small subunit ribosomal RNA
Source: RNAcentral